This 4308-nucleotide long non-coding RNA is filed under the name Homo sapiens (human). Its description in RNAcentral is "HSALNT0056726". The record is from RNAcentral. Lineage: Eukaryota; Metazoa; Chordata; Mammalia; Primates; Hominidae.
CGUCGCUACUCUGUUAACAAAAAUCUCAUUAGGCUGUUCUUCCACAAUUUACCCAGGACAACCAAGUUUGUCCCUCUAACUAGAGCAUCUUUAAUAUGUGGUUAAGUUGACAGUCCAAAAAAGAUGAUGCAGGCAUUCAGGGGAAGCUAAGUACUCAAUUUGGUUGGGAAACCCUAUGUAUUUGGAGUUAAGUGCAGAGUUCCUGGAGAACAAAGAAAUAAUCUUUAUUCUCCACAUCACUCAGGGUUCUUUUGCAAUUUCAGCAAUAUAUGGCUAAAAAUUAUUUUUACUCUCAACAAAUAUUUUGGAAGAAAAUGGGACAAGUUUAUACUCUUAUCCUUCUUUAGAGAGAAUUUUGACACUGGUAAGAAUAUUAGUUAUGUGUUCCUGAAUUAACCUAUGAUGUCAUAGUGCAUUUGGGUGUGGUGUUUUGGUACUUAAUCUAAAACUAUCCUAUCAGGAGUAUCUAGAAUUAAGACACUGAGUGGGAAGAGAGAUACAAAUAUGUCCAUAGAAAUAUGGAAGGUUUUAAGCCAGAAAAUCCUUAAAUGAAGGUCUGUAGCAGUAUCUCUCCAGAUAUUUAAAAAUACAAUGAUCACCAAAAUAUGCUAUAAAUGUUUAAAAUGGACUCCUAUCGAAAGUUCAGAGGUUAAAGAUGAUGUUGUUUAUGGUACUCCUAGAAAUUGAUUCUUCUUUAUUUUUUCUUUUCGUUGAGUUUAAUUGCCACUAGAAUUAUUUUCAAGUUAAGAAGAUAAGAGGAUUGACUUUUUAAACUUCAAAAUGAACUUCCCUGCUGUGACUGACUAUAUUCCCCAGUAUGGAGAAUUUUUAAAAACAUCUGAGGAAGAUAGAAAACAUUUUAUCUUUCAAGAUAAAAAAAGAAAAGCUCUUUGCCAACAGAAAACAUAAUAUGCGGACUCUAUGGCUAUUGUUUCUGAAAAAUAUAAGAGAUGAUUACAUCACAUUGUGUAUUCUGUAGGAAAAACACUGUAAUGCUUAUAUGGCUAAUAAUGGAAUGAUCUAAGUCAAUAUAUUGUGCAGUUUUGAGUGACAGAAGAAUUACACCAUUAUUCUUUGUAUUUUGGUUUCUGCACUAAGUUAGUCAUGUUCACUGUUUCAUCAUCAAUUAUCAUUCACUCAUUUUAUAAAAUUUUAGCAUCUGCAUUUAAUGUUACUGUAUGGUUUCUGUUUACUACAGCUGGUUGCAAUAGACACAGAUGACAAUUUCAGAGCUGUGUAUAAAAGGUCACAAAAAGUAAACAUUCAAAACAGAAACAUCUUACUUCCAGAAAGUAUAAAAUUGACGUAUGAGUAAGAUGUCAAAAGUUAUGAAAACUGGAAUGUGUUCAUCUCAUUACAUGUAAAUGCAUCUAUUUGAAAAAUGUGUUUUUUAAAGUAGAUCAUUAGGUAACAUUAGUCUUAAAAAUCAUAAAUUCUCCAUCAUUAUGAUUGUUCUAUGUUACCAAUUACAUAUAAAUGUUAAAUUACAGAGAAAACAAAUAGAAAAUAAUCAUCACAUGUUUAAAAAUUUGCAAAAAUAUAAAAAGUUAUAAAAAAAUUCAGUUCAAGAAGUAGAACAAAGGGCAUAAAAAUAGUACUUACUGUAAAGACAAAACCACAUAAUUUAUAUAAUACAUAUUUUAUAGAAUUUUAGUUAUACUACACACACACAUGCACACACACACACACACACACACACACACACACUAAAUGCUAAAAUGUGGAAUAAAAAAUUUACAGUGGGAGGGCAGGCAGAACAAGGUGACAAGAUAGCUAUACCUCCAAAUCUAUAUCCUCCAUCACCAAGACUUAUCUUGAAGUGUUAAACCUAGAAGUGUAUCCAGUAACCAGCCUUCAGAAGAAUAUUUUUUCCAAAGUGCUGUUGAAUUAAAAUCAUAAACAGCUAAUGGAAUAGGAAUGAAAUAAUUAUUUUCUUUCAUUUGCUGGAGAAAAUACUGAGCUAUGAGCUUUUCUUUUCACUACUGGGGUUAAAAUUUUAAGCAUUCUAUUCUUAAAGGAGUGUCUUUUUUCUAAAGAUUUACGUUCAGCAGCUGAAUUUUAAAGCUCUGAGAACACAGCAGUUAUAUGUUAAGCCUAGUGCAAACCUGACCUAGAUUAUUUUCACUGGCUAAAAAUUAUGAAAAAUAUCAAUAAUUUUAUUGGCAAAAAGAUACAUAGAAUAAGUAGUAAUCUUAAGAACUGAACAAGGCAUCCAGACAUACUGAAAAAUAUGGGGCAAAGCAAUUAGAGAAAAAUUAGUCAUUUUCUUCUAGAUAGAUUAUAUAUUCUUUAACAGUAAGGUUUAUGACUAUUAUCUUUAUUUCCCCACCUGCUCUUCCAGGAAUAGCUGCAUAUAAUAGUUACUAAAUACAUAUUUUUAAAUUAUCAGGUUUCCUUUUAAUUCAUGUAACGUUUUAAUCUGUAAAUGUAAUCACAGAAAGUCACCUCAUUUUUAGCUUUACUGAUUGGAGAUGAGGAUUGAUAUUACGAUAAGAGUGAUAUAACAUAUGGUAGACCUAAGUGCAUGAAUUUUGUAUUCCCAGGUAUCAUUUAAAUUUCCUGUCAUUUUAUGUUGUUAUUUGUAAUAUCUUUGUGUUAACAUGCCUCAUGGUAAUUUAGGAGCAGUGACACAGUCUUACUAAAAAAAUGCUAGGGCUCUUGGCUUAAAAUGUUCACUUGCAUUUAAUAUUACAGAAAUUUACAUGUUGGGAUUAAGUGGCCUGAAAAUGUAAGAUAAAAUGGAAGUAAUGCAACCUACUGCAAUAAUAUUGUGCCAAUAUUCAGGCAGGGCACAGAGGAAAAACACAACAGGUUUUGAAACCAGUCAAAUUAAUCACAGCCUAAGCUGGACAAGAGAGAGGGAACAAUUGCUAUUCAUCAGAUCAUGCUGUGAUGAUGAAGGAAACAGAUCUGAUAAUUUGAUUACUGGGCUAUAGAUACAGAAUUUUGGAAAUCUUUCUCAAGUAACUAACUUCUGGGAAUGUGUGCAAGUAUUUCUAUGGCUUGGAAGUAGGAGUUGAAUCGCUCUUAUAACUCGUAUGUUUUAAGGUGAGCAACCCAGACACAACAAAAACUGUUCAAAUAUGAGAUCAAGCAAUAAUUCAUGAUUCACAGACAACAAUCAGGGAAAGGGAGCUAAUAGUAUGAAACUGAUGAACAGAAUAUCAGAGUAGUAGCCCUUGAGGUAUUAUGAGCCAGAGAUCUAUACAUGCAAUUAUAGGCUUCCACUUUUCAUUUUAAUGUCAUGUUAACCCCUUAAAACCUUUUAUUUGUGUCCAAUAGAAUCAAUGUACCUAAUAGUCAUUCACCUCAUAGACUCUACCUCAGGGUGGUAAUUUGAGAGCCUGGAAUGCCAGCUGAGGGAAGACAUGGGAAGACAGCCAAGAUCAGCACUGCCUUUCUGUCAGCCCCUACUUGAUUUUCCUUGCAUCAGUGGUGCUAUCUAAAGGAAUUGCUAAAUGGACUGAUGGAUGUAUUUGUUAAUAAUGACUUUAUCUAUAUAAUGAAGUGAUGGUUGGUAUUCCUGGCCUCUGAGAAUUUUUGAAUCCAGAUUUUAUAAAAUAUAUAAGUCUUGCAUUACUCUGAGGCAGCAAGACAGUGUAUCUCUUUGAAAUGAAGGUGAACUUGACUAAAAUUUCAGGUCUAACAUUUUCUAGCUGUAUGACUUUGGACACCUCGGUUAUUCUCUUUUCCUCACUUUCUUCUUUUAUAAAAUGGAGAUGUUACAUGUCCAUUUAUAUGGUUCAUAUAGCAAACACUUCAUAUGGUUGCUGUAAAGAGAAAAUGAAAUCAUCUAUGUGAACUGCUUACUGGAAUACUGACAGGUAGAAGAUGCUUACUUGUUAAUAGCUAUUUCUAUGGCCACAAGAUGCUCUUAACUAUUUAAAAGCUUCAUCAUUUGAAAGUGAAUACUAUUAUUUAAACUUGAGAGCUAUCAAAUGCAUUUCAUAUUUUCUGUUUGAAAAAUAUGAUGUAAAAUAAAUUAAUACCAAGGAAAUAUUGGUAGUUCACAAAGUCAUUUGCAAUAGUCUCCCAAGACUGAAUACUUUGGGGCACCAAAUUAUGGAAGGCUAGAUAAGUGCUUCUGCAUUUUAAUAAGUGAAGCUGAUACUACAACUUUUUAAAGUAAUGAUGUAUUUUCAUGGCUCCUGUCUCUGUAAAAGCCAAGUGUUCAAAGAAAUGCAUUAAAAAAUUAAUGGAUAUACGAAUGCUUUUGGUCUCCACUCUCUUCUUGCUAUGACAGACAAAACAAUGGGUGAAAGGAGAGCUUAUUAUUUCAAAGAGAUAAUUCCUUAAGUUAAAAUGGCA